Molecule: ribosomal RNA, 468 nt
Filed under: uncultured bacterium
Lineage: Bacteria
Description: partial 16S ribosomal RNA
Rfam family: Bacterial small subunit ribosomal RNA
Source: RNAcentral
GACGAACGCUGGCGGCGUGCUUAACACAUGCAAGUCGAACGGAAUGGCCCUGCUUUUGUUGGGUGCUCGUGUGGCGAACGGGUGAGUAACACGUGUGUAACCUGCCCCUGACUUUGGGAUAACUUCAGGAAACUGGGGCUAAUACCGGAUAGGAGCUCCUGCUGCAUGGUGGGGGUUGGAAAGUUUCGGCGGUUGGGGAUGGACUCGCGGCUUAUCAGCUUGUUGGUGGGGUAGGGGCUUACCAAGGCUUUGACGGGUAGCCGGCCUGAGAGGGGGACCGGCCACAAUGGGCCUGAGAUACGGCCCAGAAUCCUACGGGAGGCAGCAGGGGGGAACAUUGCACAAUGGGCGGAAGCGUGAGGCAGAAACGUCGCGUGCGGAAUGACGGCUUUCGGGUGGUGAACAGCUUUCGCAGGUGACGAAGAGUGCGUGACGGUACUGGGUAAAGAAGCAACGGCUAACUACGUG